RNAcentral lists this long non-coding RNA (1047 nucleotides) under Anser brachyrhynchus (Pink-footed goose). RNAcentral's name for it is "lncRNA (ENSABRG00000001727.1)". Lineage: Eukaryota; Metazoa; Chordata; Aves; Anseriformes; Anatidae. The record is from RNAcentral.
CUGCACUUUAGCGGGGCUUUCACAGCGUGCUCGGAGGGGGGAAGCUCUAAAAACAGCGCUCGGAGCUCUUAGCCUGUCUUUUGUCCUCUGUUUUUUCUGGCCGUGUUCAGUUUGCCGGCUUUGUCUGCGUGUUGCAAAGUGCCAUCAGCAUCGACGGCACCGCGGAAACACCCGUAACAAGGAGAGGCAUCGAUCCGUGCUGCGGAGAGGCCCGACCACCACGCGGAGGGGCCGCGCUGGGUUUCCUGGAUGGCAGGAGCAGGUCGCGGGCACGCACACGCACACACGCACACACGCACACCCCUGCCCUCGCCCCGUCCUGCCUCGCUGCGGGGCCGGCGGAGAGGCCUCCUCCCGAUGGGGGCUCUGGGAGGAGCGCGCGGGGAGGCAGCAGGCAACGAGUGGGCAGCAGCGCGUGCGGGAGCGGCGCUGGCGCUGCGGGAGGAGUGAUUCAGCCCUCAGCUGGCGAGCUCCCGGUGCCCACCCUUUGUUUAUUCCUGCGCCGCUCGAAGCUCGCGUGUGCCGAGCAGGAGGAUAACUGUUAUCUCCUCUGCGGGCUCCGGGGAGGCAGCAGCCUCCGCCUGAGCACGGCGGGAGGCUCACACGGCCCGGGCUUUGCUCCGAGCCCAGGGUUUGCUCGGGGUGGCUGCUGGGGUCCCGUGCCCCACGGCGGGCACACGCGGGAACCUGACCCAGCUCGGGCAGGAGAGGCCAAGGAGGGAUGGAGGCUGCCCGGGGUGUUGUCUGCAUGGGAAUCUCCGCCCCUGGGCUUGUUAGACGGCUCGUGGAGGAAGGCCAAGCCAUCGUCUUCCUCAAAAGCUCCCACUGGCUGAGAGAGCCGUCCGAGGGAAGGCUCAUGGGACUGGUGUGGGGACUUGGAGCCUCAGCCUGUGCCAACGCAGCCAGCCUGGCUGCUGGCUCCCCGUGCGGCUCCUCGGCCCGCCUUGCCGGCGGCACUGUAGGGCCGGCAGAAGCGGGGUGGAGCGGGAAGCACCCGAGAGCCCCGCUGAAAGGGAGCAGGAGGGGAAAGUGCACAUGACAAGCAAA